This 460-nucleotide ribosomal RNA is filed under the name uncultured Corynebacterium sp. RNAcentral's name for it is "bacterial SSU rRNA". It matches the Rfam family "Bacterial small subunit ribosomal RNA", at positions 925 to 1382 of the family's 1533-position model. Lineage: Bacteria; Bacillati; Actinomycetota; Actinomycetes; Mycobacteriales; Corynebacteriaceae. The record is from RNAcentral.
ACAAGCGGCGGAGCAUGUGGAUUAAUUCGAUGCAACGCGAACGAACCUUACCUGGGCUUGACAUACACCGGAUCGGGCUAGAGAUAGUCUUUCCCUUGUGGCUGGUGUACAGGUGGUGCAUGGUUGUCGUCAGCUCGUGUCGUGAGAUGUUGGGUUAAGUCCCGCAACGAGCGCAACCCUUGUCUUAUGUUGCCAGCACGUGAUGGUGGGGACUCAUGAGAGACUGCCGGGGUUAACUCGGAGGAAGGUGGGGAUGACGUCAAAUCAUCAUGCCCCUUAUGUCCAGGGCUUCACACAUGCUACAAUGGUCGGUACAACGCGUGUGCGACACUGUGAGGUGAAGCUAAUCGCUCUAAAGCCGGUCGUAGUUCGGAUUGGGGUCUGCAACUCGACCCCAUGAAGUCGGAGUCGCUAGUAAUCGCAGAUCAGCAACGCUGCGGUGAAUACGUUCCCGGGCCUU